GGAGCUGUGGCGUAGUGGGUUUACGCCCUGGCCUGCAGUGCCAGCAUCCCAUAUGGGUGUUGGUUCUAGUCCUGGCUGCUCUA
Molecule: transfer RNA, 83 nt
Filed under: Oryctolagus cuniculus (rabbit)
Lineage: Eukaryota; Metazoa; Chordata; Mammalia; Lagomorpha; Leporidae
Rfam family: tRNA
About the family: Transfer RNA (tRNA) molecules are approximately 80 nucleotides in length. Their secondary structure includes four short double-helical elements and three loops (D, anti-codon, and T loops). Further hydrogen bonds mediate the characteristic L-shaped molecular structure. tRNAs have two regions of fundamental functional importance: the anti-codon, which is responsible for specific mRNA codon recognition, and the 3' end, to which the tRNAs corresponding amino acid is attached (by aminoacyl-tRNA synthetases). tRNAs cope with the degeneracy of the genetic code in two manners: having more than one tRNA (with a specific anti-codon) for a particular amino acid; and 'wobble' base-pairing, i.e. permitting non-standard base-pairing at the 3rd anti-codon position.
Source: Rfam by way of RNAcentral